AACGCACAUUGCGCCCCUUGGUAUUCCAUGGGGCAUGCCUGUUCGAGCGUCAUCUACACCCUCAAGCUCUGCUUGGUGUUGGGCGUCUGUCCCGCCUCCGCGCGUGGACUCGCCCCAAAUCCAUUGGCAGCGUCCCUUGCCCCCUCUCGCGCAGCACAUUGCGCUUCUCGAGGGCGGCUCCGGGGCGCGACCCACCGAAGAUGACCACCGUCUUUGACCUCGGAUCAGGUAGGGAUACCCGCUGAACUUAA
Molecule: unclassified non-coding RNA, 251 nt
Filed under: uncultured fungus
Lineage: Eukaryota; Fungi
Description: partial contains 5.8S ribosomal RNA, internal transcribed spacer 2, and large subunit ribosomal RNA
Source: RNAcentral